CUACGGGAGGCUCCAGUGGGGAAUAUUGGACAAUGGGCGCAAGCCUGAUCCAGCAAUGCCGCGUGAGUGAAGACGGCCUUAGGGUUGUAAAACUCUUUCGCUAGGGAAGAUAAUGACUGUACCUAGUAAAGAAGUCCCGGCUAACUCCGUGCCAGCAGCCGCGGUAAUACGGAGGGGACUAGCGUUGUUCGGAAUUAUUGGGCGUAAAGAGUUCGUAGGCGGACUGACAAGUUAGAGGUGAAAUCCCAGGGCUCAACCCUGGAACUGCCUUUAAAACUGUCAGUCUAGAGACCGGAAGAGGUUAGGGGAAUACCUAGUGUAGAGGUGAUAUUCGUAGAUAUUAGGUGGAACACCAGUGGCGAAGGCGCCUAACUGGUCCGGUACUGACGCUGAGGAACGAAAGCGUGGGGAGCAAACAGGAUUAGAUACCCGCGUAGUC
This 439-nucleotide ribosomal RNA is filed under the name uncultured bacterium. Its description in RNAcentral is "partial 16S ribosomal RNA". It matches the Rfam family "Bacterial small subunit ribosomal RNA", at positions 339 to 795 of the family's 1533-position model. The record is from RNAcentral.